CCUACGAGUGGCAGCAGUGGGGAAUAUUGCACAAUGGGGGAAACCCUGAUGCAGCAACGCCGCGAGAGUGAAGGAGUAUUUCGGUAUGUAAAGCUCUAUCAUUAGGGAAGAAGAAAGACGGUACCUGACUAAGAAGCUCCGGCUAACUACGUGCCAGCAGCCGAGGUAAUACGUAGGGGGCAAGCGUUAUCCGGAUUUACUGGGGGGAAAGGGCGCGUAGACGGCUGUGCAAGUCUGAAGUGAAAGCCCGUGGCUCUACCGCGGAACUGCUUGGGAAACUGUAUGGCUUGAGUACUGGAGAGGCAGGCGUAAUUCCUAGUGUAGCGGGGAAAUGCGUAGAUAUUAGGAGGAACACCAGUGGCGAAGGCGGCCUGCUGGACAGAAACUGACGUUGAGGCUCGAAAGCGUGGGGAGCAAACAGGAUUAGAUACCCCUGUAGUC
RNAcentral lists this ribosomal RNA (441 nucleotides) under uncultured bacterium. Its description in RNAcentral is "partial 16S ribosomal RNA". It matches the Rfam family "Bacterial small subunit ribosomal RNA", at positions 338 to 795 of the family's 1533-position model. The record is from RNAcentral.